RNAcentral lists this ribosomal RNA (2931 nucleotides) under Escherichia coli. RNAcentral describes it as "bacterial LSU rRNA". It matches the Rfam family "Bacterial large subunit ribosomal RNA". The record is from RNAcentral. Lineage: Bacteria; Pseudomonadati; Pseudomonadota; Gammaproteobacteria; Enterobacterales; Enterobacteriaceae. RNAcentral also lists the same sequence under 1 other name.
GGGUUGUGAGGUUAAGCGACUAAGCGUACACGGUGGAUGCCCUGGCAGUCAGAGGCGAUGAAGGACGUGCUAAUCUGCGAUAAGCGUCGGUAAGGUGAUAUGAACCGUUAUAACCGGCGAUUUCCGAAUGGGGAAACCCAGUGUGUUUCGACACACUAUCAUUAACUGAAUCCAUAGGUUAAUGAGGCGAACCGGGGGAACUGAAACAUCUAAGUACCCCGAGGAAAAGAAAUCAACCGAGAUUCCCCCAGUAGCGGCGAGCGAACGGGGAGGAGCCCAGAGCCUGAAUCAGUGUGUGUGUUAGUGGAAGCAUCUGGAAAGGCGCGCGAUACAGGGUGACAGCCCCGUACACAAAAAUGCACAUGCUGUGAGCUCGAUGAGUAGGGCGGGACACGUGGUAUCCUGUCUGAAUAUGGGGGGACCAUCCUCCAAGGCUAAAUACUCCUGACUGACCGAUAGUGAACCAGUACCGUGAGGGAAAGGCGAAAAGAACCCCGGCGAGGGGAGUGAAAAAGAACCUGAAACCGUGUACGUACAAGCAGUGGGAGCCUCUUUUAUGGGGUGACUGCGUACCUUUUGUAUAAUGGGUCAGCGACUUAUAUUCUGUAGCAAGGUUAACCGAAUAGGGGAGCCGAAGGGAAACCGAGUCUUAACUGGGCGUUAAGUUGCAGGGUAUAGACCCGAAACCCGGUGAUCUAGCCAUGGGCAGGUUGAAGGUUGGGUAACACUAACUGGAGGACCGAACCGACUAAUGUUGAAAAAUUAGCGGAUGACUUGUGGCUGGGGGUGAAAGGCCAAUCAAACCGGGAGAUAGCUGGUUCUCCCCGAAAGCUAUUUAGGUAGCGCCUCGUGAAUUCAUCUCCGGGGGUAGAGCACUGUUUCGGCAAGGGGGUCAUCCCGACUUACCAACCCGAUGCAAACUGCGAAUACCGGAGAAUGUUAUCACGGGAGACACACGGCGGGUGCUAACGUCCGUCGUGAAGAGGGAAACAACCCAGACCGCCAGCUAAGGUCCCAAAGUCAUGGUUAAGUGGGAAACGAUGUGGGAAGGCCCAGACAGCCAGGAUGUUGGCUUAGAAGCAGCCAUCAUUUAAAGAAAGCGUAAUAGCUCACUGGUCGAGUCGGCCUGCGCGGAAGAUGUAACGGGGCUAAACCAUGCACCGAAGCUGCGGCAGCGACGCUUAUGCGUUGUUGGGUAGGGGAGCGUUCUGUAAGCCUGUGAAGGUGUGCUGUGAGGCAUGCUGGAGGUAUCAGAAGUGCGAAUGCUGACAUAAGUAACGAUAAAGCGGGUGAAAAGCCCGCUCGCCGGAAGACCAAGGGUUCCUGUCCAACGUUAAUCGGGGCAGGGUGAGUCGACCCCUAAGGCGAGGCCGAAAGGCGUAGUCGAUGGGAAACAGGUUAAUAUUCCUGUACUUGGUGUUACUGCGAAGGGGGGACGGAGAAGGCUAUGUUGGCCGGGCGACGGUUGUCCCGGUUUAAGCGUGUAGGCUGGUUUUCCAGGCAAAUCCGGAAAAUCAAGGCUGAGGCGUGAUGACGAGGCACUACGGUGCUGAAGCAACAAAUGCCCUGCUUCCAGGAAAAGCCUCUAAGCAUCAGGUAACAUCAAAUCGUACCCCAAACCGACACAGGUGGUCAGGUAGAGAAUACCAAGGCGCUUGAGAGAACUCGGGUGAAGGAACUAGGCAAAAUGGUGCCGUAACUUCGGGAGAAGGCACGCUGAUAUGUAGGUGAAGCGACUUGCUCGUGGAGCUGAAAUCAGUCGAAGAUACCAGCUGGCUGCAACUGUUUAUUAAAAACACAGCACUGUGCAAACACGAAAGUGGACGUAUACGGUGUGACGCCUGCCCGGUGCCGGAAGGUUAAUUGAUGGGGUCAGCGCAAGCGAAGCUCUUGAUCGAAGCCCCGGUAAACGGCGGCCGUAACUAUAACGGUCCUAAGGUAGCGAAAUUCCUUGUCGGGUAAGUUCCGACCUGCACGAAUGGCGUAAUGAUGGCCAGGCUGUCUCCACCCGAGACUCAGUGAAAUUGAACUCGCUGUGAAGAUGCAGUGUACCCGCGGCAAGACGGAAAGACCCCGUGAACCUUUACUAUAGCUUGACACUGAACAUUGAGCCUUGAUGUGUAGGAUAGGUGGGAGGCUUUGAAGUGUGGACGCCAGUCUGCAUGGAGCCGACCUUGAAAUACCACCCUUUAAUGUUUGAUGUUCUAACGUUGACCCGUAAUCCGGGUUGCGGACAGUGUCUGGUGGGUAGUUUGACUGGGGCGGUCUCCUCCUAAAGAGUAACGGAGGAGCACGAAGGUUGGCUAAUCCUGGUCGGACAUCAGGAGGUUAGUGCAAUGGCAUAAGCCAGCUUGACUGCGAGCGUGACGGCGCGAGCAGGUGCGAAAGCAGGUCAUAGUGAUCCGGUGGUUCUGAAUGGAAGGGCCAUCGCUCAACGGAUAAAAGGUACUCCGGGGAUAACAGGCUGAUACCGCCCAAGAGUUCAUAUCGACGGCGGUGUUUGGCACCUCGAUGUCGGCUCAUCACAUCCUGGGGCUGAAGUAGGUCCCAAGGGUAUGGCUGUUCGCCAUUUAAAGUGGUACGCGAGCUGGGUUUAGAACGUCGUGAGACAGUUCGGUCCCUAUCUGCCGUGGGCGCUGGAGAACUGAGGGGGGCUGCUCCUAGUACGAGAGGACCGGAGUGGACGCAUCACUGGUGUUCGGGUUGUCAUGCCAAUGGCACUGCCCGGUAGCUAAAUGCGGAAGAGAUAAGUGCUGAAAGCAUCUAAGCACGAAACUUGCCCCGAGAUGAGUUCUCCCUGACUCCUUGAGAGUCCUGAAGGAACGUUGAAGACGACGACGUUGAUAGGCCGGGUGUGUAAGCGCAGCGAUGCGUUGAGCUAACCGGUACUAAUGAACCGUGAGGCUUAACCUUACAACGCCGAAGGUGUUU